Molecule: non-coding RNA, 419 nt
Organism: Drosophila melanogaster (fruit fly)
Lineage: Eukaryota; Metazoa; Arthropoda; Insecta; Diptera; Drosophilidae
Source: Ensembl
UAGCUGUUUGCCUGCUGCCUGCUGAUUAUGUGUAUUUGCAUUCUAAAGCAGUUGUCCUGCUGUCCCCGCUCCCUUCGUCCUUGAGCAGUAAUGGUCGAAAGUGCCAACCAUCACCACCCAACAACUCCCCUCUUGUCUACGCCUUGUUAACGUAAUUUCCAUAAAACAUUUUGUUACUUAUUUAUCUUAAUUAAAAUAAAUUUACAUUUUUCUAAUUUAAGAGCGCGACGAAGGAAAAACAACAACGUCAACUAGUCAGUCGUGGCCCCCAGAAUUCUCCGCCCCACACCCCACAUCCUUGUCUCUCCUUGACGGGCAUUAGAGAGCGACAUUUUCUUAACAAGCCAAAAGGACAUUUGCUGUCCUAUGGGGAGAACGGCGAGCCAUCUCGCAUACACAAAGGUUCCAGGACGAAACAC